This 485-nucleotide ribosomal RNA is filed under the name uncultured Bacteroidota bacterium. Its description in RNAcentral is "bacterial SSU rRNA". It matches the Rfam family "Bacterial small subunit ribosomal RNA", at positions 409 to 896 of the family's 1533-position model. Lineage: Bacteria; Pseudomonadati; Bacteroidota. The record is from RNAcentral.
UGAAGGUCCUCUGGAUUGUAAACUUCUUUAGUAUGGGACGAAACCCUCGGAUCCUCCGGGAUUGACGGUACCAUAGGAAUAAGCACCGGCUAACUCCGUGCCAGCAGCCGCGGUAAUACGGAGGGUGCAAGCGUUAUCCGGAUUCACUGGGUUAAAGGGUGCGUAGGAGGACUGGUAAGUCAGUGGUGAAAUCCCCGAGCUUAACUUGGGAACUGCCGUUGAUACUAUCAGUCUUGAAUACCGUGGAGGUGAGCGGAAUAUGUCAUGUAGCGGUGAAAUGCUUAGAUAUGACAUAGAACACCAAUUGCGAAGGCAGCUCGCUACACGAAUAUUGACUCUGAGGCACGAAAGCGUGGGGAUCAAACAGGAUUAGAUACCCUGGUAGUCCACGCCCUAAACGAUGGAUACUCGACAUACGCGAUACACAGUGUGUGUCUGAGCGAAAGCAUUAAGUAUCCCACCUGGGAAGUACGACCGCAAGGUUG